AGGGCUUCGGCCCCGGUAAAGUGGCGCACGGGUGCGUAACACGUAGGCAAUCUUCCCUCGGGCGGGGGAUAACGUUUCGAAAGAGACGCUAAUACCGCAUAAGACCACGGUCACCUCGGUGAUUGCGGUCAAAGCUGGCCUCUUCAUGAAAGCUAGCACCUGAGGACGAGCCUGCGGCCCAUCAGCUAGUUGGUAGGGUAAUGGCCUACCAAGGCGAAGACGGGUAGCUGGUCUGAGAGGAUGAUCAGCCACACUGGAACUGAAACACGGUCCAGACUCCUACGGGAGGCAGCAGUGGGGAAUAUUGGACAAUGGGCGCAAGCCUGAUCCAGCGACGCCGCGUGAGUGAUGAAGGCCUUCGGG
This 363-nucleotide ribosomal RNA is filed under the name uncultured bacterium. Its description in RNAcentral is "bacterial SSU rRNA". It matches the Rfam family "Bacterial small subunit ribosomal RNA", at positions 74 to 422 of the family's 1533-position model. The record is from RNAcentral.